Molecule: ribosomal RNA, 564 nt
Filed under: uncultured Bacillota bacterium
Lineage: Bacteria; Bacillati; Bacillota
Description: bacterial SSU rRNA
Rfam family: Bacterial small subunit ribosomal RNA
Source: RNAcentral
UACGGGAGGCAGCAGUGGGGAAUCUUGCACAAUGGAGGAAACUCUGAUGCAGCGACGCCGCGUGAGCGAUGAAGCCCUUCGGGGUGUAAAGCUCUUUCGACGGGAACGAUAAUGACGGUACCCGGAGAAGAAGCUGCGGCUAACUACGUGCCAGCAGCCGCGGUAAUACGUAGGCAGCAAGCGUUGUUCGGAGUUACUGGGCGUAAAGAGUGCGUAGGCGGUGCCCUAAGUCUGUUGUGAAAUCUCCCGGCUUAACUGGGAGGGUGCGGUGGAAACUGGGGUGCUUGAGUGUGGGAGAGGUUGGCGGAAUUCCUGGUGUAGCGGUGAAAUGCGUAGAUAUCAGGAGGAACACCGGUGGUGUAGACGGCUAACUGGACCAUGACUGACGCUGAGGCACGAAAGCGUGGGUAGCAAACAGGAUUAGAUACCCUGGUAGUCCACGCCCUAAACGAUGCACACUUGGUGUGAGCCAUUCAUUUGGUUCGUGCCGGAGCUAACGCGUUAAGUGUGCCGCCUGGGGAGUACGGUCGCAAGGCUGAAACUCAAAUGAAUUGACGGAAGGGC